This 253-nucleotide ribosomal RNA is filed under the name uncultured bacterium. RNAcentral describes it as "partial 16S ribosomal RNA". It matches the Rfam family "Bacterial small subunit ribosomal RNA", at positions 524 to 776 of the family's 1533-position model. The record is from RNAcentral.
UACAGAGGUCCCAAGCGUUGUUCGGAUUCACUGGGCGUAAAGGGUGCGUAGGUGGUAAGGUAAGUCUGAUGUGAAAGCUCGGAGCUCAACUCCGAAAUGGCAUUGGAAACUACCUUGCUUGAGGGUUGGAGGGGGGACUGGAAUACUUGGUGUAGCAGUGAAAUGCGUAGAUAUCAAGUGGAACACCAGUGGCGAAGGCGAGUCCCUGGACAAUUCCUGACACUGAGGCACGAAAGCUAGGGGAGCAAACGGG